AGAGUAACGAGGAAUCAUUCAUUUGAUUGCCUCAUCUUAAAAAUCUCACAGAAGUAUUGUCUUGACCGUUUACCUACUUAGUUUUCAGUGAUCCAUGUUAUUUGACAUAACAAUUGGGUUUGUAACUCAGCUGGUUAGAGCACACCCCUGAUAAGGGUGAGGUCGAUGGUUCGAGUCCAUUCAAACCCACCAUAUGUAUCACUUAUCUGGGGAAUUAGCUCAGCUGGGAGAGCGCCUGCUUUGCACGCAGGAGGUCAGCGGUUCGAUCCCGCUAUUCUCCACCAGAGAAUGUGCAAAAUCAGAAAAAGAAGUCUGAUUCAAGUACUUGAUUGAAGUAUUUGAAUUAGACUUUUAAAGUCUAAAGUUAUUUGAAUUAUUAUUGUUAAGUCGUCAACUAAAUAUGUUUGACAUAGAGAAAUCUAUGAGAAACAAAUUUACAGUAUAGUGAAUAACUAUACAACGUAACUACAAACACAUUUCAUCGUCUUAUUCUUAAUAAGGCGGUGAGCGCAAAUUAGAAAAAGAUAUUAAGGGCCAUAGGUGGAUGCCUUGGCUGGUAGAGGCGAUGAAGGACGUACUAGGCUGCGAUAAGCCUCGGGGAGCUGCCAAGAAGCUUUGAUCCGGGGAUUUCCGAAUGGGGCAACCCACUGUAUCGAGAGGUACAGUACCCUACGGGGGGCGAACUCAGGGAAGUGAAACAUCUCAGUACCUGAAGGAAAAUAAAUCAAACGAGAUUCCCAAAGUAGCGGCGAGCGAAAUGGGAUAUAGGACA
Molecule: unclassified non-coding RNA, 772 nt
Filed under: uncultured Campylobacterota bacterium
Lineage: Bacteria; Pseudomonadati; Campylobacterota
Description: uncultured Epsilonproteobacteria bacterium partial 16S-23S ribosomal RNA intergenic spacer
Rfam family: Bacterial large subunit ribosomal RNA (bases 518-772)
Source: RNAcentral